GGGCUUAUGGCCAAAUGGGAAGGCGCCUGACUACGGAUCAGGAGAUUCCAGGUUCGAUCCCUGGUAAGCUCG
Gaertneriomyces semiglobifer is the source of this 72-nucleotide non-coding RNA. The record is from the annotation of a GenBank genome assembly. NCBI's taxonomy places the organism in Eukaryota, Fungi, Chytridiomycota, Chytridiomycetes, Spizellomycetales, Spizellomycetaceae.